AGUCAUGAAGUCCUUGCCUAGGCCUAUGUCCUGAAUGGUUUUGCCUAGCUUUUCCUUUAGGGUUUUUAUGGUUUUAGGUCUUAUGUUUAAGUCUUUAAUCCAUCUUGACUUAAUUUUUGUAUCAGGAGUAAGGAAGGGGUCCAGUUUCAGUUUUCUGCAUAUAGCUGGCCGGUUUUCCCAACAUCAUUUAUUAAAUAGGGAAUCCUUUCCCUAUUGUUUGUUUUUGUCAGGUUUGUCAAAAUCAGAUGGUUAUAGAUGUUUGGCAUUAUUUCUGACGCCUCUGUUGUGUUCUAUUGGUCUAUAUAUCUGUUUUGGUACCAGCACCAUGCUGUUUUUGUUACUAUAGACUUGCAGUAUAGUUUGAAGUCAGGUAGUGUGAUGCCUCCAGCUUUGUUCUUUCUACUUAGGAUUGUUUUGACUAUAUGGGUUCUUUUUGGUUCUGUAUGAAAUUUAAAGUACUUUU
Sapajus apella (tufted capuchin) is the source of this 463-nucleotide long non-coding RNA. RefSeq lists it as uncharacterized. The transcript is spliced from 2 exons. The record is from RefSeq and is a predicted model, not a curated record. Lineage: Eukaryota; Metazoa; Chordata; Mammalia; Primates; Cebidae.